AUUGAACGCUGGCGGCAGGCCUAACACAUGCAAGUCGAGCGGAUGAAGGGAGCUUGCUCCUGGAUUCAGCGGCGGACGGGUGAGUAAUGCCUAGGAAUCUGCCUGGUAGUGGGGGAUAACGUCCGGAAACGGGCGCUAAUACCGCAUACGUCCUGAGGGAGAAAGUGGGGGAUCUUCGGACCUCACGCUAUCAGAUGAGCCUAGGUCGGAUUAGCUAGUAGGUGGGUUAAAGGCCUACCAAGGCGACGAUCCGUAACUGGUCUGAGAGGAUGAUCAGUCACACUGGAACUGAGACACGGUCCAGACUCCUACGGGAGGCAGCAGUGGGGAAUAUUGGACAAUGGGCGAAAGCCUGAUCCAGCCAUGCCGCGUGUGUGAAGAAGGUCUUCGGAUUGUAAAGCACUUUUAGUUGGGAGGAAGGGCAGUAAGUUAAUACCUUGCUGUUUUGACGUUACCAACAGAAUAAGCACCGGCUAACUUCGUG
Molecule: ribosomal RNA, 484 nt
Filed under: uncultured bacterium
Lineage: Bacteria
Description: partial 16S ribosomal RNA
Rfam family: Bacterial small subunit ribosomal RNA
Source: RNAcentral